Long non-coding RNA from Equus caballus (horse), 1548 nucleotides. NCBI's taxonomy places the organism in Eukaryota, Metazoa, Chordata, Mammalia, Perissodactyla, Equidae. The record is from Ensembl.
AACUAAUGGAAUAAUUUGGAGGAUCAAAAUGCAAAAUAAUCUUGGUUGGUUGGUGUGAUGUAUGAAAAUCAAUAAUAACAAUUAGCAGAGCUAAAUAUAUACACUUUCACUUAAGUUUAAAAAAAAGAGCAAUGGGUGUGGAAACUUUGUAACCAGUUUUUAGGAAAAAAGUCUUCGGAAAUUAGUCAAAUAAAAGACUACGGUGAUAGAUAAUUUUAGAAACAGAUAGUGGUGAUGUUUUCACAACAUUUCAAAUGUAGUUAAUGCCACUGAACUGUACACUUAAAUAUGGCUAAAAUGGCAGAUCUUGUGUUACAUAUAUGUUACUGCAAUAAAAAAAUUAGAGUGAAACCACAGAUAUUUUGCAUCUUAAAAGCAAAUUUGAUUCUUGAAAACCAAGUGAAAUCCAAUAUACUGGUCUGAACAAAUAUUGUGUCAUAUGUUCUUUAUUUCAGGAUAUAAUAUCACACUCUAGAUUAAGGCAGAAUUGGAGUUGAAAGACCUACCAUUGCUGUUAUUUAAGAAAGAGUUGAAGAAACCAUUUGUGAUUAUCCAGGAGGAAAUGAUGUUGUUCUACAAAUAUCUGGAGUAUUGUUGUGUAGAAACAGGAAAAGGCAUUCUCCAUUCAGUUCCACAAGGUAAAAGUAGACUUUAUCACUGGAAUUCAUCUAUCUAUUCAUUCCACAAACCAGGUCUGCUUGAUGAAGCUCUGGGUCAUUCCUUUAUACAUUGAACAGGCUAAUAAAAUUAAAAAUGGGCAGAUGAAGUCUAAACACCACUGGAUAACUGAGAGAGAUGAUGAUCAAAGAAGAGGCCCUCUCAUGGAUAACUGACACAUAAGUUAUCAGGUAUGGGCCUACAUAAGGAAAUUCAUCAAUCAUGUGGAGGAAAAUGUUAUUCAGAUGCAAGGAUCUGACCAUAAUAGUCUUCUUUAGUGUGAGUGUGGAAGUCCCAUCUAUACUUAUCUGAUCUCCUUUUUGGUGUUGAUCUUAGAUAGCAAGAAGUUCUUACAGUCUUUAUCCUUUAUCUCUGAAUUUUUCUAAAACUUUCUGGAGAGCAGCCAUAACUUCCUUAUUCCUCAAGCUGUAGAUCAAUGGGUUCAACAUAGGUGCCACCACAGAAUAGAAUAGAGCAACCAUCUUCUCUUCUUCCAUUGAGGAGGCUGACUGUGGCCUCAGGUAGGUGAAUAUGGCUGCGCCAAAGCACAUGCAAACCACAGUGAGGUGGGAGGCACAAGUCCCAAAUGCUUUGCGGCGUCCCUGAGUAGAACGAAUGCGCAGAAUGGCAGCAACUAUACGACCAUAGGAGAAGAGGACCAGAGAACAGGGAAGCAUGAUCACCAGAAAUCCUGAGAUGGCCGCCAUGACCUUGUUGAAGGAGAUGUCCACACAGGCUAGCUGUAGCACUGCUAGGGUCUCACAGGCAAAGUGAUUGAUAACAUUGUGACACAGAGGAAGCCGGAAGGUGAUGAUUGUUUCCAUCAGUGAAUUCAUGAAACCAGCCACCAAGCAGCCGGCAGCCAGCCCCAGGCACAGUCCUCCAUGCAUG